UACGUAGGGUGCGAGCGUUGUCCGGAAUUAUUGGGCGUAAAGAGCUCGUAGGCGGCUUGUCACGUCGGAAUGUCGAAAGCCCGGGGGCUUAACCCCCGGGUCUGCAUUCGAUACGGGCAGGCUAGAGUGUGGUAGGGGAGAGUCGGAAUUCCUGGUGUAGCGGUGAAAUGCGCAGAUAUCGGGAAGAACACCCGUGGCGAAGGCGGCUCUCUGGGACGGUACUGACGCUGAGACGGCGAAAGCGUGGGGAGCGAACAGG
This 259-nucleotide ribosomal RNA is filed under the name uncultured bacterium. RNAcentral's name for it is "partial 16S ribosomal RNA". It matches the Rfam family "Bacterial small subunit ribosomal RNA", at positions 524 to 776 of the family's 1533-position model. The record is from RNAcentral.